GAUGAACGCUGGCGGCGUGCCUAAUACAUGCAAGUCGAGCGAACGGACGAGAAGCUUGCUUCUCUGAUGUUAGCGGCGGACGGGUGAGUAACACGUGGAUAACCUACCUAUAAGACUGGGAUAACUUCGGGAAACCGGAGCUAAUACCGGAUAAUAUUUUGAACCGCAUGGUUCAAAAGUGAAAGACGGUCUUGCUGUCACUUAUAGAUGGAUCCGCGCUGCAUUAGCUAGUUGGUAAGGUAACGGCUUACCAAGGCAGCGAUGCAUAGCCGACCUGAGAGGGUGAUCGGCCACACUGGAACUGAGACACGGUCCAGACUCCUACGGGAGGCAGCAGUAGGGAAUCUUCCGCAAUGGGCGAAAGCCUGACGGAGCAACGCCGAGUGAGUGAUGAAGGUCUUCGGAUCGUAAAACUCUGUUAUUAGGGAAGAACAUAUGUGUAAGUAACUGUGCACAUCCUGACGGUACCUAAUCAGAAAGCCACGGCUAACUACGUG
RNAcentral lists this ribosomal RNA (497 nucleotides) under uncultured bacterium. RNAcentral describes it as "partial 16S ribosomal RNA". It matches the Rfam family "Bacterial small subunit ribosomal RNA", at positions 28 to 507 of the family's 1533-position model. The record is from RNAcentral.